CGGGGUAGCUCAGUCGGUAGAGCAGAGGACUGAAAAUCCUCGUGUCGGCGGUUCGAUUCCGUCCCCC
Molecule: transfer RNA, 67 nt
Filed under: marine eukaryotic metagenome
Rfam family: tRNA
About the family: Transfer RNA (tRNA) molecules are approximately 80 nucleotides in length. Their secondary structure includes four short double-helical elements and three loops (D, anti-codon, and T loops).
Source: RNAcentral